Molecule: RNase P RNA, 394 nt
Filed under: Mycobacterium sp.
Lineage: Bacteria; Bacillati; Actinomycetota; Actinomycetes; Mycobacteriales; Mycobacteriaceae
Description: RNase P RNA component class A
Rfam family: Bacterial RNase P class A
About the family: Ribonuclease P (RNase P) is a ubiquitous endoribonuclease, found in archaea, bacteria and eukarya as well as chloroplasts and mitochondria. Its best characterised activity is the generation of mature 5'-ends of tRNAs by cleaving the 5'-leader elements of precursor-tRNAs. Cellular RNase Ps are ribonucleoproteins.
Source: RNAcentral
CGAGUUGGCCGGGCGGCCGCGGCUCGUCGAAAGACGAGUCGAGGAAAGUCCGGACUUCACAGAGCAGGGUGAUUGCUAACGGCAAUCCGAGGUGACUCGCGGGACAGUGCCACAGAAAACAAACCGCCACCCGUACGGGUGGUAAGGGUGAAACGGUGCGGUAAGAGCGCACCAGCAUUCCGGGUGACCGGGAUGGCUAGGUAAACCCCACCCGAAGCAAGGCCAAGAGGCCGCACCUGGUGCGGCUGCGCAGGCGUUCGAGGGCUGCUCGCCCGAGCCUGCGGGUAGGCCGCUCGAGGCACCCGGCGACGGUGUGCCCAGAUGGAUGGUCGCCACCGCGCCGCCGCUCGCCGGCGGAGCGGAACAGAAUCCGGCUUACAGGCCAGCUCGUCCG